Aedes aegypti (yellow fever mosquito) is the source of this 273-nucleotide long non-coding RNA. RefSeq lists it as uncharacterized. The transcript has 2 exons. Lineage: Eukaryota; Metazoa; Arthropoda; Insecta; Diptera; Culicidae. The record is from RefSeq and is a predicted model, not a curated record.
GUUAGCGCUCAGGAUGACAGGGCAUGGCAAAAGAGGAGCACCGAACCACCGAAGGCAUACGAGUGAUCGUGAUUCUACAUGGGAUUUCGCGAUACGCCAGCUAGUUCGGUGUAUUGGAUCAACAACGAAAACUUGAACGGGCUUUGCAGAGCAUAUGUGAAUAAUUCCAUUGCAGUUCGUCGGAUUUAUCACCUGAAGCAUCCCAACGAUGGUUAUGGUUCAUCAGUUAGAUAAAUGCUAAGGUGAAGAUGAAUCGACGCCAAACCUCAGAUU